CAUAUAUCAGUAUGAACCAAAUAAAAAGGAAUAGAACUUCUCUUAUUGCUUAUUGGAAAAGACACACGUUUGUGUUUUGCAAGUUCGCAUACAUCACUGUGAAAGCUAUCAAUGACUAAUCCUUGAAAUAAAGAAGGAAACAUUAAUUUUAAAACUUGGAAAGAAGGGAGAUGAUGAAGCCAAAUCUUGGUUUUGUUGUUUGAAAGAGUUUCAGAGUGGAAUGACAAAGGUAUAUUAUUCUUAAUAAUACUUGAGCUGCCUUGUGUACCAAGAUAAUAGAGUCAUGCCUUCUCCUUAGCAUGUCCAAUCAUAUUCC
Molecule: long non-coding RNA, 316 nt
Filed under: Olea europaea (common olive)
Lineage: Eukaryota; Viridiplantae; Streptophyta; Magnoliopsida; Lamiales; Oleaceae
Description: long non-coding RNA (OEUR_LNC003520)
Source: RNAcentral